CAGUCGCCGCGGUAAUACGAAGGGUGCAAGCGUUAAUCGGAAUUACUGGGCGUAAAGCGUGCGUAGGCGGUUUGUUAAGUCUGUUGUGAAAUCCCCGGGCUCAACCUGGGAAUGGCAAUGGAUACUGGCAAGCUAGAGUGUGUCAGAGGAUGGUGGAAUUCCCGGUGUAGCGGUGAAAUGCGUAGAGAUCGGGAGGAACAUCAGUGGCGAAGGCGGCCAUCUGGGCCAACACUGACACUGAGGCACGAAAGCGUGGGGAGCAAACAGGAUCAGAUACCCGGGUAGUCCCUGUCUCUUAUAC
This 301-nucleotide ribosomal RNA is filed under the name uncultured bacterium. Its description in RNAcentral is "partial 16S ribosomal RNA". It matches the Rfam family "Bacterial small subunit ribosomal RNA", at positions 509 to 807 of the family's 1533-position model. The record is from RNAcentral.